Quercus lobata is the source of this 1988-nucleotide long non-coding RNA. RefSeq lists it as uncharacterized. The transcript is spliced from 2 exons. NCBI's taxonomy places the organism in Eukaryota, Viridiplantae, Streptophyta, Magnoliopsida, Fagales, Fagaceae. The record is from RefSeq and is a predicted model, not a curated record.
CUAAUAACAUGAUAUAAUUUGGUGAAUUUGUUUUAUUCCUUAAUGUAAAUUGCCCUUUCAUGUUUCUUUACAGUUUCUAUUGCAAAGAAUCAAAGAUAUAAAUUGAAAGGCCAAUAAUUAAGGUGGUUUGGUUGUUCUUGUUUGGCUGCGUAUGAGAAAUGAAAAUUAUGAAACCCAAUUGAAAUUCAAAUGCACUUUAAAUUCAAAUACUAUGGAUUUGAAAUGUUUGGUUUUUUGUGAAUCACGUACUUGUGAUUGUAAGAGAAAUGCAAAUUCCCGAGUGUGACAGUGUCCAUAUCUUAAUUUAGAUUUGGACUUGGUCAUACAGCUCAUGCUUAAAAAUCAGUAUCGCUUUCAUUUUCAUUUGGUUUAUUUUCAAUUUACAUCUGUAUCAUUAUUUUAAAAAUAAAAAGUAAAUUAUCUCUAUUCAUUACGUUACGCAAAUUUAUCAUAAAUCUGGCACUAAAAAUAAUACAGUAACACUGAUAGCCAAUAUCCAACAAGCAUUGAAACACUGUUUUGCAGAUUUAGUACAUCAAAGGAAACAGAGCUCAACAAUUUCUAAGAUAUCAAUGAUUUUGAAAAAGUCUAUCUUGAUGGGAUUGUGCUAAGUUUCAUGUUUAUUACUAAAACUAUCAUACAAGUGCCAUGCUCCACUAGCUCUAUAGUCUUUCACCUUCCCAAAUUUUAACAAAUGAUUUAAGACCUAAAGUGAAAGAGGCUAUUUUUUGAGAGGCUUUGAAUACAAAUGAAAGAACCAAAAGCCUAUACCUCUAGAAAUAAUUUAUGGACAAGGAGUUGCUGCAAACACGGUUAGGUGGCAACUUAUGAAGCCGAAAUGCGUCCUAGGUCAUGUGACUGUCACAUGACUGGCCAAACUCACCAAAUUCUCUAACCACAGGUAGAACUUAACCACUCUCUCUCUCUCUCUCCCAACCCAAGUAAAACAAAACCCCAACCAUCUCUCUAAUUGACAGUCCCUCUCUCUUUUUUAGUCACCUUUUCUGACUCCACCAUCGUUCACCACUGUCACUUGGUGGUGAGAGCCUCUGUUACUCCUACCCAAAAAAAAUCAGGUUCCUUCUACUAUUUAUCUUAUGAUCUCAGGCUCCCUUGAUUUUAAUUUACCCAACUCUUUGAGAAAAGAAAAAUCUCCCUCUCACACAAUCCACGUGAACCAACUCUCACAGAGUCUGGAGAAAAUAUUCUUUCUAAGUUGGCUUUUGCUUCAAAGAAAAAAGUUGAGAUUUUUUUUUUUGCAUUCAAAGGAAACUUAGGAAACAAUGAAGCGACUACCAGGAAUAAGUAAAAUGCAUUAUAGUGAGACUAGAAGCACACAUUUAAAGUGCAGAUAUUCUUGACUUAGAACCAAAAGUACUCCAGUCCAGGCCAACAAUUUAUCACUCAUCACCAUAGUUCAGGAGCAAUUAAACUAUGAAAAGUCCCUUUUUGAUACCUAUCACUUUGACCAAAAUUGCUCUAUAGAUUACCUCUGUAGUGAAUAAAAAUGUCAAAAGCUACAUGUUCAAGUAAACCCAGUAAAAAAUGAUAUUUCUUAAUGAAUAAUCUCCGAUAAUUCAUACCCAAAAGAAACAAGAAGACAAUCCUAACAUGCCAAGAACUUGGUAUAAUCUUUACAUAUUUGUGCCUAUAAUCACAAGACCAUCCAUCACUGACAGAGAGCAUAAGUAGAUCUCCAUGCUGUUGUUUUUUUUUAUAAUUCAACAGCAUAGAGAUCUACUUAUGCUAUCUGUUUCCUACAAUCAUAGGUGCAUGUCGUGAGCUAUAAACCAUUGCAAUGAAAAUGUGUGUGACCUAUAAGAAAGACAGAUUCAAAAAAGGGCACACAAUGAGACACUAAGCUAAUUUGAUGGCUAAUUCAAUGUCUCACUUUGUUGCUUUGACAUCAUCAUGGAUUUCGUCACAUUAAAACUCUGACAUCUCACCAGGAAAAGAUGUUUAGCUAAAGGAAUCCCUUUUCCUUAGAA